This 148-nucleotide non-coding RNA is filed under the name Gorilla gorilla gorilla (western lowland gorilla). The record is from Rfam by way of RNAcentral. Lineage: Eukaryota; Metazoa; Chordata; Mammalia; Primates; Hominidae.
GCCAGGUGUGGUGGCGCAUGCCUGUAAUCCCAGCUACUCAGGAGGCUGAGACAGGAGAAUCACUUGAACCCAGGAGGCGGAGGUUGCAGUGAGCUGAGAUCAAGCCACUGCACUCCAGCCUGGGCAACAGAGUGAGACUCCAUCUCAA